RNAcentral lists this ribosomal RNA (253 nucleotides) under uncultured bacterium. RNAcentral describes it as "partial 16S ribosomal RNA". It matches the Rfam family "Bacterial small subunit ribosomal RNA", at positions 524 to 776 of the family's 1533-position model. The record is from RNAcentral.
UACAGAGGUGGCAAGCGUUGUUCGGAAUUACUGGGCGUAAAGGGCGCGUAGGCGGCCUUCUAAGUCAGACGUGAAAUCCCCCGGCUUAACCUGGGAACUGCGUCUGAUACUGGCAGGCUUGAAUGCGGGAGAGGGAUGUGGAAUUCCAGGUGUAGCGGUGAAAUGCGUAGAUAUCUGGAGGAACACCGGUGGCGAAGGCGGCAUCCUGGACCGACAUUGACGCUGAGGCGCGAAAGCUAGGGUAGCAAACGGG